GGCUCAGAUUGAACGCUGGCGGAAUGCUUUACACAUGCAAGUCGAACGGUAGAGGGGGCAACCCCUUGAGAGUGGCGAACGGGUGAGUAAUAUAUCGGAACGUGCCCAGUCGUGGGGGAUAACGUAGCGAAAGUUACGCUAAUACCGCAUACGAUCUAAGGAUGAAAGCGGGGGAUCGCAAGACCUCGCGCGAUUGGAGCGGCCGAUAUCAGAUUAGGUAGUUGGUGAGGUAAAGGCUCACCAAGCCAACGAUCUGUAGCUGGUCUGAGAGGACGACCAGCCACACUGGAACUGAGACACGGUCCAGACUCCUACGGGAGGCAGCAGUGGGGAAUUUUGGACAAUGGACGCAAGUCUGAUCCAGCCAUUCCGCGUGCAGGAUGAAGGCCCUCGGGUUGUAAACUGCUUUUGUACGGAACGAAAAGGUUUGUCUUAAUACGAUGAGCUCAUGACGGUACCGUAAGAAUAAGCACCGGCUAACUACGUG
This 487-nucleotide ribosomal RNA is filed under the name uncultured bacterium. Its description in RNAcentral is "bacterial SSU rRNA". It matches the Rfam family "Bacterial small subunit ribosomal RNA", at positions 21 to 507 of the family's 1533-position model. The record is from RNAcentral.